GUUUAAAGCAGGUGUUUAUUGAUUAUAUACUAUAAAUUGUGUUUCAUCGAUACAGGAAGAUGAACUGGUCACUGGUUUAUAAACCUUUAAUGGAUGAAUAGAUAAUACGUAAGGUAUAAUAGAGAUCUGAUGGAAUUCUGUGUUAAAAGACCGCAGCAUUGCCUUUGGGAGCUCUGGUUUUAGAAGGUAAGUUUAUUUGCCAUUUAAAGAUGCUAUAUGUAUGAAGGCCUGCUGAUAUUUUGGGGAAAAUACCGCAGCAUUUGGAGUUCUCGUUUUUGAAAGUAAAUUUGUCAAGUUGCCAUUUCAAGAUGCUUUAGGAAAGGCGUACGGUUGCCUAUAAUUGCUAUACAGCCACUUCAAUUGAACUUUCAUGGAUAAUUUUCUCUUUGGCAACCAUUUCACAUCUUAUUUUACAGGUAUGAAGAUCGAAAGGAAUUGUAUAAGCUUUUGAUAAGGAAGACUUCGGACUUCACAGUAUAUAAAAAUAAUCAUAAAUUAUAAGGAAGACCAGCUGGUCGGCUACACUUUCGGCAUAUAGAUGCAUGCCGUUGCUACCACUCAAGCUUUUAAUAUAGAUUAGACCGUUGUUUUUCCCGUUUGAAUGGUUUUACACCAGUAAUUUUUGGGCCCCUGUAUAGCUUGCUGUUCGAUAUGAGCCUAGGCUCCGUGUUGAAGACCUAACCUUGACUUAUAAUGGUUUGCUUUUAUAAAUUGUGACUUGGCCCAUGAUGGAGAGUUGUCUCAUUGGCACUCAUACCUCAGACUUAUAUCUCAUCUUCUUGUAUCUAUAAGACAGGUUCAAUGUCAUUUAAACUGUGUCUUGUUCGAUGUUAUUAAAGUUUGUUGAUGUGAUUCAUAAGUGUUUCUCUUCUUAUUUCUAUGGUAGCUAUUUCGAGGCCCUUGAUAGCUUGCUGUUUCUAAUUUCUAUGGAAGCUAUUUGAGGCCCUUGAUAGCUCGCUGUUUCUUAUUUCUAUGGUAGCUAUUUCGAGGCCCUGGAUAGCUUGCUGUUUUUUAUUUCUAUGGUAGCUAUUUUGAGGCCCUUGAUAGCUUGCUGUUUCUUAUUUCUAUGGUAGCUAUUUCGAGGCCCUUGAUAGCUUGCUGUUUCUUAUUUCUAUAUCAGCAGUUCACAUAUAUAGUGCUACAGGAAGCUGUGAAAUGUGUAAAAGUAUCAGGACUGCACGCAAAAAGUCAUCGUACUGAAACCAACAGUAAACCAGGUUAUUUAUCUGGUGUUGUUUAUCUGACACAGACAUCAAAAUUCAUUAUAGGAUCGCCGUAUAAAUUAGACACGUUUCUAGAAAGUUUAUCGUUUCUUUUUUAAUAUCCAAUUCCGUUUGGCAAAGAUUUUACGAAUUUUUGGUCCACAAUGCUUUUCAACUUCGUUCUUGAUUAAGCCUUUUUAACAUUUUUUUAUUCGAGCGUCACUGCAUGGGUUCUUUUGUAGACGAAAUGCGCGUCUGGCAUAAAUAUAAAAUUUCAAUCCUGGUAUCUAUGAUGAGUUUAUUGACAAAAUCAGAAACACAUGUGUAAUUUAAAAUAUGUCUCUGACAAACUGAUUUUACAAAUUGCACUACACGAUCAACUUGUGAAAUACAAAACAGUAUGUGUUAUACAUACUAGUACUUUAUCUAUAUUCAAACUGUCAAAUAGGUAACAACUCCAAACUGUCAUAUACAGAGGAGAUUGGCCACCCGUUUAGUGAUGUCUAGCUUGAAAAGUCUUGAGCCUGUUAUUUUUAUGUUUUUUACAUAAGUUUUUUAUCUAUUUCAUUCAUAAAAUUGUGUGUGGCCACUUUGUGGCAGUUAUAACAGCUACAACAUGGCGUUGUGCAAACUUGUUACAAUUUAAUGACCAGCCCUAACUUUGUGGUUAUUCUUAUGUUCUUAUCAAUUGUUUCUUUUUCGUAAUUCUGACUGCCCUGUCCGUUAAUAAAAAAAAUACUAAGUACUAAAUAUAGUAGUUGUUUUCCAUAAUAAAAAGUAAAGAAUAAUUGGUAUUCUUCCAAGGAACGUCUCAUGAUUUUCCUAUUUCUUUUUACAUUUGAGUGUAUAUGGACUUUACUGAACAGGUUCCCUUUUUUGUGUAGGGGCCAGCUGAUGCCCAUCUCUGUUUGCAGAAAUUCGCUCAUUGAAGACUGGCUGUUUUUCUGCUCUUUAGGUCGGGUUGUUGUCUCUCUGACAUAUUCCCCAUUUCCAUUCUCAGUUUUAUUCAGGACGGUGUGUCUCAUGUGUAUUUAUAGAAUUACAUAAUUACUUUAUUUUAAUCAGCUUAUUCUAUUAAUUCAGUAGAUUACAAUAGAAAACGACAUCGAAUGCCAUUGUUAUAUAGACACAGUAGUACAGAAGUAAUGCUAUAUUGUUUUGACGAUUAUAGGCCGCUGUUUAAAUAUUGUUCGUUUCUUUCAUUCUUUCAAAUAUUAAUUUGUUACAAAUUUAUUGGAACAUGUUAGUCAUGCAAUACUCAUUGUUUAUAUACAUUUCAAUUACUUUUUUUUUAAUUAAAACAAAUAUUUUUAAAAAGUCCGUGUUUGUAAAAAUACCAAACUUUCGAUCAAAGAAGAUCCUAUAUAUACAUAUACUUAUUUUGUUAAACAGGGGAAAACAACCCCACAAAGUUUGAUGUCUCUUAUAUGAAAUACAAACGGACAUUAACCAAAUUAUAUAUGUUAGUGGACAAAUAUCAAUGUUUUAUAAAUAUACUUCAUGUUUUUUUUUAUUAGAAACUUAUAUGGGAAGGUUGGGGGUCAAGGAACUUAUUGUUUUCAGUUUAUUUUUUUACUAAUACAAUAUAAUAUAUUUCAUGUUUGGUAUUAGUAACAUAUAUAGGAAGGUUGGGGGUCAACGAACGUAUUGUUUUCUUGUGUUUUGUCAAGAACAAAGAAAGAGAUAGAAAUAAUAUGUUUUGAACUUCAAUUACCGACAAUUAUUUUAAAUCAAAAACUAAUCUUCAUAUUUUAGUAAUCUACAGGUGUUAUUUCUUAGGUCAACAUUACACACGGAAAUAUUUAUAUAUUUAUCUUUUUAAGAUUAUAGUUUACAAAGGCUUUGGACCGUACUCGACAAAAUGAUAGCAUUUCAUUCAAUGGGAAUUAUAGUGAAAUGUAUACAUGCACAUUAGGAUAGGUGCAUAUAGUGAAGGAAAUUUGUGAGUGUUGAUUUGUUCACAUUCAAUGUCAACAAAAAUAAUAAAUUAUAAAAAUUAUAAAGUUUUCUUUGGAAGUAAAUGAGAGACUAAAUGUGGAAUAUAGAAAUAAAUAUGGAUAUUCUGUGGGAUGUAAAUGAGAGAAUGAAUGUGGAAUAGAGAAAUUAAUACCAUUAUGGAUAUAAAACAAAGAUAGAUAGUUCAAUAGUGAAGGAAAUAAUAAUACCAUGAAAAGGAUGAAUCACAUAAAUCAGAGAUCGAAUGUGAAAUAAGGAAGGAAAUAAGUGAAAAGAAAGGAAGAAAUAAUAAUCACUUCAAAAUUCUUUGGAUGUGAAUUAUAUAUAGAUAGUGAAGGGAGGAAGGAAUAAGUAAUAUAAUCAAUUCUUUGGAUGUGAAUAAUAAAUAAAAUGUAAAAUAGUGAAGAAAAUACCAUUUAAUAAUGCAAUGAGAGGAAUCAAUAAUUAAUUGGUUCCUUUGAUGUAAAUCAAAAAUACAGUGUUACAGGGAAGGAAAUAUAACUUAAAAAAACAAAGAAAGUAAGGAAAAAGAAGACACUAUGGCUAAUCAUUACACAUUUAUCAAUGGGAAAUAUACACCAAUAACUCUGCUACCAAGGCCGAGCUACAGCAGUUACGAUUCGUACACUGGAAGUUGCUGCUAUGGUACAGGAACAUACGGUAAGUUAAAACGAAACAUGGAUGAGCUGUCUCCGGG
This 3855-nucleotide long non-coding RNA is filed under the name Mytilus galloprovincialis (Mediterranean mussel). The record is from RNAcentral. Lineage: Eukaryota; Metazoa; Mollusca; Bivalvia; Mytilida; Mytilidae.